Molecule: long non-coding RNA, 3391 nt
Organism: Homo sapiens (human)
Lineage: Eukaryota; Metazoa; Chordata; Mammalia; Primates; Hominidae
Source: Ensembl
CAGCAUCCGAAAUGCAUUUUUUGUGGGGACAGCAGCACACGUGGGGAAGGAACACAGAAUCGGCUGUGGCCAGCGGGUCUAUUCAUGCCGUGAAGAUCCUCCCAGACCCCUCCCGAUGCCUACUGGGCUUCAGGCCCCAGGAAACAAAGCUAAGUCAUGCUAGCCCCUGCUCUGGAGAAACCGCUUCCCGGUGGCUGGGAUGGAAACAAGCACCAGGCCCCGAGGAUGCAGAAUCAGAGGAUUCCCAGGAGCUUCGUUAACUGGCCUUUGCGUUGCUCGUGCUGCAUUAUCUUGAGUUAAUAUUUGCCCUCCAUAUUUUCAAGUAACAGGCCAAGUCAACUUGGCGUUGCGGAUUGCAAACAUCAGCCCUGAGUAUGGCCCAAACUUCAAGAACCUUGGGCUCCAACAGCACUGGCCGGCGGUGGUGACUGACGGGUGGUGAAUUGAGCCAUGGAGAGAUGGCCCUGAGUGCCAGUGAACAAUGCUCCCCUUCUGAAUCCUGAGGCCCUGGAGAAUUUCUGCAAGCAUGAGUCACCACCUUCCAGAAAGAACCCAUGGCCACUGAAGAGCUGCUUCCGACCCAGCCCCAGAUGGAGUUUCACUCUUGUUGCCCAGGCUGGAAUGCAAUGGCUUGAUCUCAGCUCACUGCAACCUCCAUCUCCCGGGUUCAAGCGAUUCUCCUCCCUUAGCCUCCGGAGUAUCUGGGAUUACAGGCAUGCACCACCAUGCCCAGCUAAUUUUGUAUUUUUAGUAGAGACAGGGUUUCUACUGUCCACACCCAAGGCUCUUGGACAGAUUCCAGAUGCCAGGCUGAGAAUCUUUGCAAGUCCCUGUUAGCUGGCCCAGUGCCCGCCAGGUCAUGGGAAUUCAGCAAACGACCCCAGUGGGGGCAGUGUGGCCAUCUGAAGAGGCCUCAGCUUUGCACGACACAGAGUGAAUGAUCCCAGCUCAGCCCCUUCCUGGCUGCAAAACCGUGGGCCCUCCAGUCCUCAAGCCCCUCUGCAUUCAUCUUGUGGGAUGAACUCCCCCACAGAGGGUAUGGACAGACGUGGUGUGCACAGUGGGUGCCCUAUUAGUGAAGGUUAUUAUUUGUUGAACUUGGUUGAACCCAGGCCACCUUCGGCAGCUGCCCUAGUCCAAUCCUUCUUUUCUUACUUCCACUUGACAAGUGUCAUUAAGCCCAUGUAUCAGACUGUCUCUGAAGAGUAAUGCUGGGGUGUUUGAUGGUGAUGACAAUGAUGUCCAAGGAUCUGUUAAGCCACAUCCACAUGGCCUGGCAGUGGCUGCGUCUCCCUUCCGAGAAAGACCCCAGAGCAAGUCCCUUAGGAACACUCCCUCUCUAGGAAGGCACUGCCAUGGAAAGAUCAUGGCAGGGGCUGCCAGGUCUAGGAAGUUCUCAGCACACGUGGGCCGGGGAGGCAACUGACCUUCCACGCCCAGCAUCUUGUGGAAGGCAUGAUGCACUGCCAGCCCUGCUUCCCCUCCUCUGCGCUCCUCACCUGGGCAACCUAAAGAAAGUGUGGGUGGAGUUGGCACUGCAUCCAUGGUGGAACAUCAACAAUGCCGGUGAUGAGGGUAAUUUUCAGAUGAGUUGAGAUAAGCCUGCUGCGUUACUCUCUGACCUUCGCCGUCAUUUUCACACAAUAGGUGGAUGAUAAUGUUGAGCUGUGUCUAAGAGCUCCUCCAGACAGAGAGGAAUGAGCAAAGGCAGCAUGAACCCAAACAAACAGAAGCAAUUUCAGCUGCAGAAGUCCUUCAGGGCUUAAAAGCAUUGUUUGCUACGCAUUAGGCAUUUCUGAAUCUGAAGAGAAUCUUUUUUCUCUCCCUUUCCUAUUUCUCAAAUAAGGAUGAUCUAGGGAAAAAUAUCAGGGGAGUGGAGGUCAGGAGAGGAGUGUGUGGAUUCAGCUCUGCCUGGGGCAAGGCGCUUUUUCUCUCUGCCCCCCUUCCCCCCAUUUCCAUCUGUAAUAAGGCACAGGCUGGACCAGACAUGCCUCCAGUGCCUGCUAGCUCCACCAAUAAGGACCGUGAAUAACACUUAUUCCCAUUCCCAUUUUACUGGUUUCCGAAUAUGAGAAGAUCAUUGCCAAUUUUUCUCUUUUCUCUUUCAACACUACUGUGAUGGUUAAUGGUGAGUGUCAACUUGAUUGGAUUGAAGGAUGCAAAGCAUUGGUCCUGGGUGUGUCUGUGUGGGUGCUGCCAAAGGAGAUUAACAUUUGAGUCAGUGGACUGGGAGAGGCAGACCCACCCUCAGUCUGGGCACCAGCUAAUCAGCUGCCAGUGCGGCUAGGAUAAAGCAGGCAGAGGAACAUGGAAGGACGAGACUGGCUGAGUCUUCCAGCCUCCAUCUUUCUCCUGUGCUGGAUGCUUCCUGCCCUCGAACAUUGGACUCCAAGUUCUUCAGUUUUUGGACUCUUGGACUUCCACCAGUGGCUUGCCAGGGGCUCUCGGGCCUUCGGACACAGACUGAAGGCUGCACUGUUGGCUUCCCUACUUUUGAGAUGUUGGGACUCGGACUGCUUCCUUGCUCCUGGGCUAGCCGAUGGCCUAUUGUGGGACUUCACCUUCUAACCGUGUGAGUCGAUUCUCCUUAAUAAACUCCCUUUUAUAUAUACAUCUGUCCUAUAAGUCCUGUCUCUCUAGAGAACCCUGACUAAUGCAACUACUUCAUAAGCCACUCUGCUCUCCUUCUACCACACUUACCUGCUCACAGGGCAAAACCUGUCAGGGAUGUGGAGCUUUGUAGGGCAGACGAACCCACCAGCCUCCCAUGCAAGGCACCCGAGAGGGGUUAGAGGUAGUAAGGAAAAGGGCUAACGGAGGUGGCUCCUGGAUAGACAAACACCAGUUCCAAGUCCUCAGGCCCCAGAAACCUCUCAGGACCCAAUCUCAUUUGUUCAACUCCAAGUCAACCAUGACCCAUGGAAAGCUCAUGAAUCCGUGGUGGCCAGCAGGCAAGAAACAAUGUUGCUAUAUACUGGUGUUUGCCAUCGGUGGAAAUUCAUACUACGGAAUGAUCUCAUCCGUGUGCAUCUGCUCCAGCUGCCCUAACAAAGUAGCACACUGGGGCCUUAAACAACAGAGAUGCAAUUCCUCACAGUUCCGGAGGCGGGAAGUCCGAGAUCACAGUGUUGGCAGGUCUGAUUCCUCCCAAGGCCUCUCUCCCUGGACUGCAGAGGCUGAUUCCUACCUUUGUCCACACAUGGUCGUCCCUUUGUGUGUGUCUGUGUCCUAAUCUCUAUUCUUACAAGGACACCAGUCACAGCAGAUUAGGGCCCACCCUGAUGACCUCAUUUUAAUUUAAUGAACCUCUUUUUUUUUAAUCGGCAUACAUUACUUAUUUUUAUUAAUGUAAAAUAAAAUAUAUUAACAUUCUAUUCGCUACAUGUCAAAA